This is a long non-coding RNA of Homo sapiens (human), 842 nucleotides long. The record is from Ensembl. Lineage: Eukaryota; Metazoa; Chordata; Mammalia; Primates; Hominidae.
UCUUGGGUGGGCAGCCCAGGAGCAGAACUCAGCCUCUAGCAGAUGCCCAAGAAGCAGAGGAGAAGCAGAGUCUAGAAGCUCCCCUCCUGGUGUGGAGCCUGGGGUGUAAAGGGUACUUAGAAAGCACUGGUAUGAAUGCCCUGUUUAUUCAUCACAGUCCUCUCAAGCAUUCAGUCAUUCAGCAAACAUCGAUCGAGCACCUUCUCUGCGCCUGACCCUGUGCUGAGCACCAGGGCCCAGAUGAAUGAGACAUGGUCCCUGCAAAUGCACACACAUACCUUUUCCCAUAAUGAGAAAGGGCUGAGUACAGGGGUGAGAUGGGACAGGCAGGGAUGCGGUCAAUCCAACCCAGGUGGAGGAGAAGGAAGACUUUCCAGAGAAAGAGUCAACAGGUUGGUCUCUAGCAGGCCAGUGCUCAGUGCCUGGUGGAUGCCUGGUAUGCAUGUGCUAAAAGACUGACCAAACUAGACUUAGAAGCAAUAGAACUCUACCUGGAGGCACUGCAGUGAAGUCCCUCCUUCCUGGAGGGAACGAGUCUCUGGCUGAGCACAUGGUGAGGCACCAAGUGGAGACAGCUUCCUGUGUGAGGCUUACGGGAGCCCAGCCCUGGCCUGGGAUUCUAAUAGCAGUGGGCAUGACCCUCCAGAGAUGGCAGCUUUGCCAUGACCGGCCUCUCAUCAUCAUGUGUGUGGACUCCCGCUGAAAGGUGUCUGCCUGGAGGAGCCUGGAAGAGAGCUCACCUCCAGCCUUGAUGAAGUGGCAUCUCUUUGGCACUUGGCCUGACUUCCUAGACCUCCCUGGGGCUGGAAGAGCCUGCUAGGGGUCAAUAUGUACUGACCCUC